This 669-nucleotide ribosomal RNA is filed under the name Triticum aestivum (bread wheat). Its description in RNAcentral is "partial small subunit ribosomal RNA". Lineage: Eukaryota; Viridiplantae; Streptophyta; Magnoliopsida; Poales; Poaceae. The record is from RNAcentral.
AUGUAUAGCAGCAGGGGCUCUGGGUGUAACAAUGGUAUUGAUGUCCUCAUCAGGGAUUCGGUGCUUUGGCCGCUUUCUGCCUCUGGGCGUUUUUCUGUUAAGUCUAUUUAUUCUAAGCUCGUUGGUGGCACGCCGACCAAUCGUUUUUCCCAAGUUGGGAAGGCCCGUAUUCCCCUUAAGAUUAAAAUUUUCUUGUGGCAAGCCUUUCGAGGCCGGUUGCCCUCGGCUGAUCAGAUUCGUAAGAGAAAUGGGCCGGGCUCCCAGUUCUGUGCUCUUUGUGGUGAUGUGGAAGACUCGGAUCAUAUCUUUUUUCACUGCCACCUGGCUAAGCUUAUUUGGAGUUGUGUGCGGGACUGGCUUCAUGUUUCUUGGGCCCCUGCCUCCUUUGCCGAGUUGCGCAGCUUGGCUUCCAACCUCUCCGGUGUAUCUAGGCGCAUCAUUUGGGUGGGCUUGGGGGCUUUAUGCUGGUCUCUGUGGACUACUAGGAACAAAUUUACUAUCGAGCACGUGUUUCCGGCUAAACCGGCUGACUGCUUAUUUAAAUCGUGUGCUUUCCUGCAGCAGUGGAAAUCAUUGACUAAGGUCGACAACCAAGAGGCGCUCUCUAUGCUGAUCUACAAAAUUCAGACGACGGCGUCUCAGUUAUGCAGACAAGAGCAGGAUGCUUGA